UGCUUGGAGACGGCUUCAAUUCCGAAGUGCAUUGCAGUGUUAAAACAUGAUAGAAAAAACUGCAAGCACGGCGGGAGUGAUGCUGUUUCUAAAGAAAAAUCG
Molecule: microRNA precursor, 102 nt
Filed under: Mayetiola destructor (Hessian fly)
Lineage: Eukaryota; Metazoa; Arthropoda; Insecta; Diptera; Cecidomyiidae
Description: microRNA mir-932
Rfam family: mir-932 microRNA precursor family (bases 9-89)
Source: RNAcentral